Molecule: ribosomal RNA, 484 nt
Filed under: uncultured bacterium
Lineage: Bacteria
Description: partial 16S ribosomal RNA
Rfam family: Bacterial small subunit ribosomal RNA
Source: RNAcentral
AUUGAACGCUGGCGGCAGGCCUAACACAUGCAAGUCGAGCGGAUGAAGGGAGCUUGCUCCUGGAUUCAGCGGCGGACGGGUGAGUAAUGCCUAGGAAUCUGCCCGGUAGUGGGGGAUAACGUCCGGAAACGGGCGCUAAUACCGCAUACGUCCUGAGGGAGAAAGUGGGGGAUCGUCGGACCUCACGCUAUCAGAUGAGCCUAGGUCGGAUUAGCUAGUUGGUGGGGUAAAGGCCUACCAAGGCGACGAUCCGUAACUGGUCUGAGAGGAUGAUCAGUCACACUGGAACUGAGACACGGUCCAGACUCCUACGGGAGGCAGCAGUGGGGAAUAUUGGACAAUGGGCGAAAGCCUGAUCCAGCCAUGCCGCGUGUGUGAAGAAGGUCUUCGGAUUGUAAAGCACUUUAAGUUGGGAGGAAGGGCAGUAAGUUAAUACCUUGCUGUUUUGACGUUACCAACAGAAUAAGCACCGGCUAACUUCGUG